RNAcentral lists this non-coding RNA (182 nucleotides) under Nitrospirae bacterium GWC1_57_7. RNAcentral's name for it is "6S RNA". It matches the Rfam family "6S / SsrS RNA". From Rfam's summary of the family: E. coli 6S RNA was the first non coding RNA to be sequenced, but its function was unknown until recently. It consists of 184 nucleotides that fold into an extended hairpin structure with a large single-stranded internal bulge. The 6S RNA specifically associates with RNA polymerase holoenzyme containing the sigma70 specificity factor. The record is from RNAcentral. RNAcentral also lists the same sequence under 3 other names. Lineage: Bacteria; Pseudomonadati; Nitrospirota.
AGUCCCCUGCGUUGUGCGUGAUAGAUAUUAACUUGAUCCUCGUGAAAAAAUUAAAACGGGAGCUGUCCCUGGAGAGGGUGUGCAUGCCCAGAUUAGACUGGGAAGCCUAAACUUUCCGAUAUGGCACCCACCUGGCAUACGACCAGGUUCAAGCGUAUCUGCACGGCAAUGGCGGGGGACUU